CAUAGUAUGAGGAGGUAGAGCCUGGCACAGUAGCCACAAGGAGGAAAGCAGCUUAAGAAUUAAGCCCACCGUUGGUGGGGAUGUAAAAUGGUGUAGCAGCAAUGGAAAAGUCCGGUGGUUCCUCAAAAAAUUAAAGAUACAAUUACCAUAUGAUCCAGCAACUCCAUCUCUAGUUAUGAUCUAAGUCAUCCCCGCUGCCAUAUUGUACUUGAAAGAAGACAUUACCAUCAGCUUCCAGAAAACCAACCAGGGGAGCUUCCAGUCCAGCACCUUCCUCUCCAUCAGCCAUCCCAGUGACUUCAUCCAACCCCACGUGUGCACGAAAGAGUUGAUUCAGCAGGUCUGGGAUCUUCAAACCCUGCACAUUCCAAAGAAAGUUCUGGCCCUUGCCUGUCUCAUAGAAGACAACCUCUAAGCUCUUAGAAUAUCCUGCUGAGAGCAUCCUGGUCAGGAGAGAACGCCACCUGCAGAGACAACAGUAUGAAAAACUCUACCCACUACACUACUCUACACUGCACCACGCAACUGAGUCCCUCAUCCCCAAAUAGGUACUCCAGGCCCCCCUCGGAGACACUGCGUGUUCAGUUCCAGGCCACCACAAUAAAAUGAAUGUCGCAAUAAAGUGAG
This is a long non-coding RNA of Equus caballus (horse), 627 nucleotides long. RefSeq lists it as uncharacterized. The record is from RefSeq and is a predicted model, not a curated record. Lineage: Eukaryota; Metazoa; Chordata; Mammalia; Perissodactyla; Equidae.